RNAcentral lists this ribosomal RNA (274 nucleotides) under uncultured Corynebacterium sp. RNAcentral's name for it is "partial 16S ribosomal RNA". It matches the Rfam family "Bacterial small subunit ribosomal RNA", at positions 524 to 796 of the family's 1533-position model. The record is from RNAcentral. Lineage: Bacteria; Bacillati; Actinomycetota; Actinomycetes; Mycobacteriales; Corynebacteriaceae.
UACGUAGGGUGCGAGCGUUGUCCGGAAUUACUGGGCGUAAAGGGCUCGUAGGUGGUUUGUCGCGUCGUCUGUGAAAUUCCGGGGCUUAACUCCGGGCGUGCAGGCGAUACGGGCAUAACUUGAGUACUGUAGGGGUAACUGGAAUUCCUGGUGUAGCGGUGAAAUGCGCAGAUAUCAGGAGGAACACCGAUGGCGAAGGCAGGUUACUGGGCAGUUACUGACGCUGAGGAGCGAAAGCAUGGGUAGCGAACAGGAUUAGAUACCCCCGUAGUCC